GAUAAUGGGGUAAAGGAAAUGGAAGAAGAUAAGAAAAAUGAUGAGAAAGUUGAGACUGAGAAGAUGGAUGAAGACCAACCGGUCAAGGAUGACACAGAAAGCAAAGAGACGGAAAAAGAAGAAAAGGAGGAACCUAAAACUGAAGCGAUGGAAGAAGAAACCAAUGCAAAAGAAGAUGUUAGGAAAGUUGCGGACGAUGAAAACAAAGAUGAGGAGGAGGAGAAGGUGGAUGAGUUGAAAGAAGAAGAUGAAGAAGAGCAGGAAGAGAAGGCUGAAGAAGAGCCGAAAGAAGAAGAAGAUGAAGAGGAACAUGAAGAAAAGGAUGGAGAUGAUGAAGAGAAGGAUGGGGAUGAUGAAGAGGAACAAGAAGAGAAGGCUGAAGAAAGUGAGGAGGAAAAAGGUUCAAAGAAGCGUGGGAAAGGUAAAAAAACUGAGGAGAAAGUUAAGGGGAAGACAAA
Molecule: long non-coding RNA, 458 nt
Filed under: Gossypium barbadense (sea-island cotton)
Lineage: Eukaryota; Viridiplantae; Streptophyta; Magnoliopsida; Malvales; Malvaceae
Description: long non-coding RNA (GBAR_LNC016765)
Source: RNAcentral